This 492-nucleotide ribosomal RNA is filed under the name uncultured bacterium. RNAcentral's name for it is "partial 16S ribosomal RNA". It matches the Rfam family "Bacterial small subunit ribosomal RNA", at positions 29 to 507 of the family's 1533-position model. The record is from RNAcentral.
AGUGAACGCUGGCGGUAGGCCUAACACAUGCAAGUCGAACGGCAGCACAGUAAGAGCUUGCUCUUACGGGUGGCGAGUGGCGGACGGGUGAGGAAUACAUCGGAAUCUACUUUUUCGUGGGGGAUAACGUAGGGAAACUUACGCUAAUACCGCAUACGACCUACGGGUGAAAGCAGGGGAUCUUCGGACCUUGCGCGAUUGAAUGAGCCGAUGUCGGAUUAGCUAGUUGGCGGGGUAAAGGCCCACCAAGGCGACGAUCCGUAGCUGGUCUGAGAGAAUGAUCAGCCACACUGGAACUGAAACACGGUCCAGACUCCUACGGGAGGCAGCAGUGGGGAAUAUUGGACAAUGGGCGCAAGCCUGAUCCAGCCAUACCGCGUGGGUGAAGAAGGCCUUCGGGUUGUAAAGCCCUUUUGUUGGGAAAGAAAAGCAGCAGGUUAAUACCCCGCUGUUCUGACGGUACCCAAAGAAUAAGCACCGGCUAACUUCGUG